Molecule: ribosomal RNA, 460 nt
Filed under: uncultured bacterium
Lineage: Bacteria
Description: partial 16S ribosomal RNA
Rfam family: Bacterial small subunit ribosomal RNA
Source: RNAcentral
CCUACGGGUGGCAGCAGUGAGGAAUAUUGGUCAAUGGGCGUAAGCCUGAACCAGCCAAGUCGCGUGAGGGAUGAAGGUUCUAUGGAUUGUAAACUUCUUUUGUAAAGGAAUAAAGUGAGGCACGUGUGCCUUUUUGUAUGUACUUUAUGAAUAAGGAUCGGCUAACUCCGUGCCAGCAGCCGCGGUAAUACGGAGGAUCCGAGCGUUAUCCGGAUUUAUUGGGUUUAAAGGGAGCGUAGACGGGUUGUUAAGUCAGUGGUGAAAGUUUGCGGCUCAACCGUAAAAUUGCAAUUGAUACUGGCAGUCUUGAGUACAGUUGAGGUAGGCGGAAUGCGUGGUGUAGCGGUGAAAUGCUUAGAUAUCACGAAGAACUCCGAUUGCGAAGGCAGCUUACUAAACUGCAACUGACAUUGAUGCACGAAAGUGUGGGUAUCAAACAGGAUUAGAUACCCGAGUAGUC